AAUAUUUUAUUGGACCAAUCCGUGUCUCUGCGACCCAGGGAUUGUAUGUUGGACAUCAGGGAGGGCUGCUGACUUCUUCCAGGAGCUGUAGUCAAUGGGAGGUAAUUAUUGCAGGCCCUGGAACUGAUAAACAACUCCAGAGAAGUACUUCCCCUGGGGUGCAUUGCAUAUACUAGUUCAGAUCAGGUUCAAGAGACCCAGGAGACAAAUAAAAGCCAUUUGGUAUAAAAACGAUGAGCCUGAACAGACAGGGGCCCCUCAUUUUCAUCCAGAAACUCACAUGAGCCUUUAACAAAGGGGGGCUGAUCCUACCUGAAGGUUUCAAGGACUGGAAUCUGCCAUGGUCUCCAUCUGGAGGAGUGGGGACUAGCUUCUGAAAACGGCAAUUUAACUGCAACUGAGAUUAAGGUCAAAUAAGAAAUGGUCUCAGAGAGCAGGCUGAGCUAUUUAUAGGGAUGAUGGUAGAAACAGGAUGAAUUGGAGCAAGGACGUACAGAAGUUCAGAUCCAGAUCUCGCCCAGAUUGCAUUGCUCUCACCUCCAGACUGACCAAGUCUCCCAGUAUGUCAGAGAGAGUCCCAUUUGCAACCAAAAAACUCCUGAUUUUAGGGUUCUUUUAGAGUCUUCCCUUUGAUUUCAAUGGCAGCAGGAUCAGCCCAUAGAAAGAGGACUCCCCUUCCACGUAAGGUAGUAGCCACCCUUCAGUCUCAGCAGAAGUAUGUGGGAUACAAGGGCUACCUGCAAACAGGAGGAAGCACCCAUGUAUCAAUAAAUAGAGCUCUGCGCCAAUACAAAAAUGUGAAUCCGCAUCCGUGAUAAUUAACUUGUAUCCAACUUCCAUUCUGCAUUCUAACUGUAUAUGCAUCCAUACCAGCACACUAUCUCACUGUUAGAGCCAUGUGCGGAUACAGACAUUUGGAUCCACAUCCAAUCCGCAAAGAUGGGAAACAAUACAACCGCAUCUGCGGAUAUAAAGUGGAUAUCCGUGGAGUUGCAGGGCUCAAUAAAAUCCUUUUAUAAGGCACUGUCUACGUUCCUCAGCCAGCUAUAGCGGAUGACUAGAUUUCCCAGAUGGAACACGCACAUUUAAUUCAUUUUUUUCCUAACUGUAGCAGACAAUAUCACCCUGCUCUUAAAGGCAGGGAGCUGAGCUGAUUAGGAGACUUGGCAAACACAAAU
Molecule: long non-coding RNA, 1178 nt
Organism: Mauremys reevesii (Reeves's turtle)
Lineage: Eukaryota; Metazoa; Chordata; Testudines; Geoemydidae
Exons: 3
Source: RefSeq, a predicted model, not a curated record